GAGGAAUAUUGGUCAAUGGGUGCAAGCCUGAACCAGCCAUCCCGCGUGAAGGACGACUGCCCUAUGGGUUGUAAACUUCUUUUGUAUAGGGAUAAACCUACCCUCGUGAGGGUAGCUGAAGGUACUAUACGAAUAAGCACCGGCUAACUCCGUGCCAGCAGCCGCGGUAAUACGGAGGGUGCAAGCGUUAUCCGGAUUUAUUGGGUUUAAAGGGUCCGUAGGCGGACUUAUAAGUCAGUGGUGAAAGCCUGUCGCUUAACGAUAGAACUGCCAUUGAUACUGUAAGUCUUGAGUAUAUUUGAGGUAGCUGGAAUAAGUAGUGUAGCGGUGAAAUGCAUAGAUAUUACUUAGAACACCAAAUGCGAAGGCAGGUUACCAGGAUAUAACUGACGCUGAGGGACGAAAGCGUGGGGAGCGAACA
RNAcentral lists this ribosomal RNA (421 nucleotides) under uncultured bacterium. RNAcentral describes it as "bacterial SSU rRNA". It matches the Rfam family "Bacterial small subunit ribosomal RNA", at positions 356 to 774 of the family's 1533-position model. The record is from RNAcentral.